Molecule: long non-coding RNA, 530 nt
Organism: Xiphophorus couchianus (Monterrey platyfish)
Lineage: Eukaryota; Metazoa; Chordata; Actinopteri; Cyprinodontiformes; Poeciliidae
Exons: 2
Source: RefSeq, a predicted model, not a curated record
AUCCAACACGUUUUCUUUAGUUCCUGACAGCCAUCUGAUUCAUUCAGACAUGAGGUAAUGGCUCAGAGCCUGAUAAUUUACACUAUCCCAUUAUGAGACUUGACAGUUAGCUACGUGUUGUUUCACAGCCUCUUUCAAUUGCUCUUUUUAGCUGCAGCUUCAAUUUAUCUGUUAAUUGUGAUGCUCUUCACUCCCAGACCUUUAACUCUGAUCUGGAUUGUAUUUAUGGGAACUGUCAUGCAGAGAAUGUUUUGGAUUUAGCAAUUUAAGACUCAGACAAUUUACUUGAUGCGGCAGCGAGCUUUAUGAAAACAAGUUGAGGUGGAGAUGAACUCCAUGUGCAUCUGUGAACGAGUUUGGUGACUGACGAAAAGGAAGUGAAAGUGGAAGAAAAGACUGAAUGCCAGACUGAGAUGACUGACAGUGAUGCAGAUCAGCUCAGGGAAAGAAAUGGAGCCAAUCAAUGUCAGCACAGAGCUAUGAUUUUUGAAGAAACACUUAACAAAUAAAGACCUAAUUUUUCCUUCAAA